CUUUUAUUAUGAGAGUUUGAUCCUGGCUCAGGACGAACGCUGGCGGCGUGCCUAAUACAUGCAAGUCGAACGCUUCUUUCCUCCCG
RNAcentral lists this ribosomal RNA (86 nucleotides) under Enterococcus faecalis. RNAcentral describes it as "partial 16S ribosomal RNA". It matches the Rfam family "Bacterial small subunit ribosomal RNA", at positions 1 to 82 of the family's 1533-position model. Lineage: Bacteria; Bacillati; Bacillota; Bacilli; Lactobacillales; Enterococcaceae. The record is from RNAcentral.